CGAACGGGUGAGUAACGCAUCGGAAUGUACCGUGUAAUGGGGGAUAGCUCGGCGAAAGCCGGAUUAAUACCGCAUACGCCCUGAGGGGGAAAGUGGGGGACCGUAAGGCCUCACGUUAUACGAGCAGCCGAUGUCUGAUUAGCUAGUUGGUGAGGUAAGAGCUCACCAAGGCGACGAUCAGUAGCGGGUCUGAGAGGAUGAUCCGCCACACUGGGACUGAGACACGGCCCAGACUCCUACGGGAGGCAGCAGUGGGGAAUUUUGGACAAUGGGCGCAAGCCUGAUCCAGCCAUGCCGCGUGUCUGAAGAAGGCCUUCGGGUUGUAAAGGACUUUUGUUCGGGAGGAAAUCCCGCUGGUUAAUACCUGGCGGGGAUGACAGUAC
Molecule: ribosomal RNA, 383 nt
Filed under: Chromobacterium sp. 33
Lineage: Bacteria; Pseudomonadati; Pseudomonadota; Betaproteobacteria; Neisseriales; Chromobacteriaceae
Also listed under: 1 other name
Description: bacterial SSU rRNA
Rfam family: Bacterial small subunit ribosomal RNA
Source: RNAcentral